UGCCUUUUAUUGUAGGCCUGCAUGAAUGGCUCGACGAGGGUUUAACUGUCUCUGAUUUGUGAGUCCUAAAUUGGAUUAAAGGUGAAGAUACCUUUAUAUAAAAGUUAGACAAGAAGACCCCGUGCAACUUUUAAAGUCGGUUUAUUAAGAAAUUUAAGAUUUUUAGGUGGGGCGCCUACUGAGUAAUAUUAACCUCUGUGUAUAAUAAAUACUUUCAAGUUUAGACCCGACAUUGUCGAUCAUAGGAGAAGUUACGCCGGGGAUAACAGGCUAAUCCGCUAGUAGAGAACGUAUUGGCUAGUGGGAUUGGCACCUCGAUGUUGAAUCAGGGAUGAUACCUUU
Molecule: ribosomal RNA, 342 nt
Filed under: Ostrea stentina
Lineage: Eukaryota; Metazoa; Mollusca; Bivalvia; Ostreida; Ostreidae
Description: partial 16S ribosomal RNA
Rfam family: Bacterial large subunit ribosomal RNA
Source: RNAcentral